RNAcentral lists this long non-coding RNA (317 nucleotides) under Carica papaya (papaya). RNAcentral describes it as "long non-coding RNA (CPAP_LNC010674)". The record is from RNAcentral. Lineage: Eukaryota; Viridiplantae; Streptophyta; Magnoliopsida; Brassicales; Caricaceae.
UCAUGAAUAGGUCAGUAAACUUCUCUUGUAUUUCACUCUCCAAUUCUCAUGUUUCCUUCAGAGUAUGGGUUUGCCACUGCAUCUUCACCAUUGGGAUCCUCUUGUUGCGUGAAACCUUAUCGGUUCUAUUAAGAAUUUCUGCAGGGAGCUCUUCAUAAGUUAUGUCUGUUUGAACUUGUAUUUUUUGGUGAUGAAUGAUGUGAGAAGGGACACAGUGGUACCUUUUAAGCAUGGAGACAUGAAAAACAUUAUGUAGACUUACAAACUCUAGGGAUAGAGCUACAUGGUACACCAUGGUUCUAAUACGUUCAAUGAUC